AUGCAGUCACCCUGCCUCUCUUGCCAGUGGGCCGCUCCCUCCUCUCCCAGACCCUCGGCCAUCACAGAAGACUGGGCCUUUACACGUGGUUUAUUCUGUGCUGCGGGCUCUUCAGAACACAUGACCUGGAGAAAUGAGCUCUCGGCAGACCCUGUCCUGGGCCUGUGCAGCACACACUGGCAAAGAGUGAGUGUGUCCGUCACCAAGAUGGAAAAGCCGAGGCUCCGAGAGGACGGCCAGCUCCCCCGGAGCACCGAGCGAGUCAGUGGCACAGGCCACGUCAGCCAUCCCCGUGCUGUCACAGGCAGUCCCAGCCACGCCCUCUUUGGCCACACAGGAAAACACUGCUUUUCCACAGUCAGAUCUCCUCCCCAGCCUCGGGGUCGGGCCUGGAGCCUGGCAUGGACAAUCAGCUCGCCCCAACUCUCCAGUGCCCAGGGAGCAGAACACCGGUGAAGAUGAAUUGAGGCGGCACAGACGAAAAUGUGGGAUUUGGAGACCGGAAUGUCGUGGGCGCCCAGCGCAUGACUGGCUGUGCGUCCUUCACAUGAUGCCCACGGAGCGCAAGGUUCAUCGUGGACCAAUCAGCUGAUGCCCAGUGGGCAAAAGGGAGCAGAAGACGUGGCGGUGGUGAGAGCCCAAGACAGUGACAGAGAAGAAGAAGUUCGUGCGGACGAGACGAGACCUGGGCAAGUCCUGGAAGACAAAGAGGAGUUUAUCAGACGACCAGGAAGAGCGUCGGCACUCGCGCUGCGAGGAGGGUGGUGAAGCAUGUGAACGGGUGGCAUCUGUCCGCUCAAGCGGGCACACGGGACAGACCCGCAGGACGGCCCGCAAACAGAACAGGAGCAGCCGACUCCGCGACCACACCGGCGUGUGUCCAGGGG
RNAcentral lists this long non-coding RNA (887 nucleotides) under Fukomys damarensis (Damara mole-rat). Its description in RNAcentral is "lncRNA (ENSFDAG00000032556.1)". Lineage: Eukaryota; Metazoa; Chordata; Mammalia; Rodentia; Bathyergidae. The record is from RNAcentral.